GUAAAUGAAUCUUGAUGAAUAGAGGUAGAAGCAAUCAGUCCAAAUUAUUUGCUUUCUCUAUUUACAUAGGAAGUGAAGACUGCCACCAAAACAGAAAGUGGAACCUAGGACAAUGGCAUCCAAGGACACAAGAUCUAAGAGGACAAGAGAGAGCACAAGUCAUGCUACUCUUUGCAAAGAAGGGAAAGCAUCUUCAGGAGUUUCCUCCAUCACAAGAGAAGCUAACAAGGAGUCAAAAACCAACCACAAGAUAGAAUGAUGGGACACUUCUACUGAAUACAACUUGAAAAGUAGGCAGAGAAAGUUGAUUUUUACAAGAUAAGGAGGAACCAGAAGCAAAAUUGCAAACAGAGACAUGUUGUUGACCAACCCUCCACCUACUGUGCCAAACUACAAGUCUGGGCACAGGCCAACUUCAGGAUCCCAGGACCCUACCUAUACCAACAACAGAGCAACCCACAUCCCAGACACACGCCUUGAAGUCCCAGGUCCUGGCACCAGUCCUCAGUGAGGCCCAGAAGUCCAUAGUGCUUGGCCCUUUCAAACCUGUACUGUGGUGAAGCCCUUAGCCCCAGGACAAAAUAGUUUGUAGUUCUGAGUCCUGCAAGUCAUCGGCAGAGCAGACAGAAUCAGCAGUUUCCAGAACUCCAGUCCUUUUUUGCCAGUCCACAGGCAAAAAAAAAUGAGCAAGCAGCCAAAGAAAUACCUAACCCUAGAAAGUUUCUAUGGAGACAAAGAGCAAAACAUAGAGUUAAUGGGGAAUGGUGAGAUCCAAGCAACCACAUGCAAAACUUCAAAGAAAAAGGGGAAUUUAUCUUAGGCACUAAAGAAAUAAAAAAAGAAAUUCAAAAAUCA
RNAcentral lists this long non-coding RNA (855 nucleotides) under Monodelphis domestica (gray short-tailed opossum). RNAcentral describes it as "lncRNA (ENSMODG00000041577.1)". The record is from RNAcentral. Lineage: Eukaryota; Metazoa; Chordata; Mammalia; Didelphimorphia; Didelphidae.